CCUCGAAGAUAAUUCGAACCAUUAGAUUACCUACCACAACAAUCAACGGAUAAAAAGGCUACUGGAGAAUCUUCCGGGAGUACGCAGGAUUUUCUCCCAGUUUGGGUGUAAUCAAGGUGCGCCUAAGAGUCUUGUUGAGGAUCCUACAUCAGAGGAGGCUUGGUAACUCGGUUGUUGGGUAGGCCAUCUAUACAGCUUUGAGAGGAACACAGUUAAUUGAAGAGCCCUCAUGGGACAAGGACACUAACCGUGGCUAGAGGUACUAGUAUGAGGAUAUAGAGUUCUGGGUAGCCGGAGGCUACUAUUUAUUAUAGAUGUUAUUUUUGGAGAACAUGUACUGUUGUAUAGUGUUCUAUUCAUUUGGUGAUCAUGAUGUCUGAUCCUUUAUUUUG
Long non-coding RNA from Gastrolobium bilobum, 392 nucleotides. RefSeq lists it as uncharacterized. The transcript has 3 exons. Lineage: Eukaryota; Viridiplantae; Streptophyta; Magnoliopsida; Fabales; Fabaceae. The record is from RefSeq and is a predicted model, not a curated record.